AACUGCCUUUCUGCGGGAAGAAUCUCCCGGAUUAGUUUCGGGAUUGACGGUACCGCAGGAUAAGCAUCGGCUAACUCCGUGCCAGCAGCCGCGGUAAUACGGAGGAUGCAAGCGUUAUCCGGAUUCAUUGGGUUUAAAGGGUGCGCAGGCGGUGGAGCAAGUCAGUGGUGAAAGCCCGAAGCUCAACUUCGGGAUUGCCAUUGAAACUGUUUCACUUGAGUGUAGUCGAGGACGGCGGAAUGAGUUGUGUAGCGGUGAAAUGCAUAGAUAUAACUCAGAACACCAAUUGCGAAGGCAGCUGUCUAGACUAUAACUGACGCUGAGGCACGAAAGCGUGGGGAGCGAACAGGAUUAGAUACCCUGGUAGUCCACGCAGUAAACGAUGAUCACUCGUUGUUGGCUACUUGGUAGUCAGUGACUAAGGGAACCGUUAAGUGAUCCACCUGGGGAGUACGUCGGCAACGAUGAAACUCAAAGGAAUUGACGGGGGCCCGCACAAGCGGAGGAACAUGUGGUUUAAUUCGAUGAUACGCGAGGAACCUUACCUGGGCUUAAAUGCAGGCUGCAUUCCCCUGAAAGGGGGAUUUCCUACGGGACCGCCUGCAAGGUGCUGCAUGGUUGUCGUCAGCUCGUGCCGUGAGGUGUCGGGUUAAGUCCCAUAACGAGCACAACCCCUAUCGUUAGUUGCCAGCAUGUAAUGGUGGGGACUCUAGCGAGACUGCCGGUGUAAACCGGAGGAAGGUGGGGAUGACGUCAAAUCAGCACGGCCCUUACGUCCAGGGCUACACACGUGUUACAAUGGCCGGUACAAAGAGCAGCCACCUGGCGACAGGGUGCUAAUCUUCAAAGCCGGUCUCAGUUCGGAUCGAAGUCUGCAAUUCGACUUCGUGAAGGUGGAUUCGCUAGUAAUCGCGCAUCAGCCAUGGCGCGGUGAA
Molecule: ribosomal RNA, 935 nt
Filed under: uncultured Bacteroidota bacterium
Lineage: Bacteria; Pseudomonadati; Bacteroidota
Description: bacterial SSU rRNA
Rfam family: Bacterial small subunit ribosomal RNA
Source: RNAcentral